AUACGGACGGUCCAGGCGUUAUCCGGAUUUAUUGGGUUUAAAGGGAGCGUAGGCUGUUUUUUAAGCGUGUUGUGAAAUGUAGAUGCUCAACAUCUGAAUUGCGGCGCGAACUGGUUUUCUUGAGUGCAUACGAGGUAGGCGGAAUUUGUGGUGUAGCGGUGAAAUGCUUAGAUAUCACGAAGAACUCCGAUUGCGAAGGCAGCCUACCAGGAUGUAACUGACGCUAAAGCUCGAAAGUGCGGGUGUCGAACAGGAUUAGAUACCCUGGUAGUCCGCACGGUAAACGAUGGAUGCCCGCUGUUGGCGAUAUACAGUCAGCGGCCAAGCGAAAGCGUUAAGCAUCCCACCUGGGGAGUACGCCGGCAACGGUGAA
Molecule: ribosomal RNA, 373 nt
Filed under: uncultured bacterium
Lineage: Bacteria
Description: bacterial SSU rRNA
Rfam family: Bacterial small subunit ribosomal RNA
Source: RNAcentral